RNAcentral lists this ribosomal RNA (253 nucleotides) under uncultured bacterium. RNAcentral describes it as "partial 16S ribosomal RNA". It matches the Rfam family "Bacterial small subunit ribosomal RNA", at positions 524 to 776 of the family's 1533-position model. The record is from RNAcentral.
CACGUAGGGGACGAGCGUUGUCCGGAUUCAUUGGGCGUAAAGCGCGCGUAGGCGGCUCGGAAAGUCGGUCGUGAAAUGCCGGGGCUCAACCCCGGGACUGCGUCCGAUACUCCCGAGCUGGAGGCAGGUAGGGGAGAUCGGAAUUCCUGGUGUAGCGGUGAAAUGCGCAGAUAUCAGGAGGAACACCGGUGGCGAAGGCGGAUCUCUGGGCCUUGCCUGACGCUGAGGAGCAAAAGCGUGGGGAGCGAACAGG